This 300-nucleotide ribosomal RNA is filed under the name uncultured Methanogenium sp. RNAcentral describes it as "bacterial SSU rRNA". It matches the Rfam family "Bacterial small subunit ribosomal RNA", at positions 496 to 795 of the family's 1533-position model. The record is from RNAcentral. Lineage: Archaea; Methanobacteriati; Methanobacteriota; Methanomicrobia; Methanomicrobiales; Methanomicrobiaceae.
GCGAACUGUGGGCCUGAGGCCGAGGUAAGUAUGAGGUGGCAAGCGUUAAUCGGAAGUAGUUGGCGUAAAGGGCGCGGAGGCGGUUGUGUAAGUCAGGUGUGGAAGCCCCGAGCUCAACUUGGGAACUGCAUCUGAGACUGGGAGACUAGAGGACUGGAGAGGGUGGUAGAAUUCCACGUGUAGCGGUGAAAUGCGUAGAGAUGUGGAGGAAUACCAGUGGCGAAGGCGGCCACCUGGACAGUGACUGACGCUGAGGCGCGAAAGUGUGGGUAGCAAACAGGAUUAGAUACCCCAGUAGUC